AGUUGUAAUCUCUAGAAAUGUUUUCCGCGUUGGACCGCACACAAGUCUGUUGGAAUACAGCGGCAUAGUGGUGAGACCCCCGUAUAUGGUGCGGACGCCCAGCGCUUUGUGAUACAUUUUCGAAGAGUCGAGUUGUUUGGGAAUGCAGCUCAAAUUGGGUGGUAAAUUCCAUCUAAAGCUAAAUAUUGGCGAGAGACCGAUAGCGAACAAGUACCGUGAGGGAAAGAUGAAAAGCACUUUGGAAAGAGAGUUAACAGUACGUGAAAUUGUUGGAAGGGAAACGCUUGAAGUCAGACUUGCUUGCCGAGCAAUCGGUUUGCAGGCCAGCAUCAGUUUUCCGGGAUGGAUAAUGGUAGAGAGAAGGUAGCAGUUUCGGCUGUGUUAUAGCUCUCUGCUGGAUACAUCUUG
Molecule: ribosomal RNA, 408 nt
Filed under: Rhodotorula mucilaginosa
Lineage: Eukaryota; Fungi; Basidiomycota; Microbotryomycetes; Sporidiobolales; Sporidiobolaceae
Description: LSU rRNA
Rfam family: Eukaryotic large subunit ribosomal RNA
Source: RNAcentral